AGGAUAUUGAUGUUCAGCAGUGCUCUCUCCCCGUCCAGGCCCAUCAGCCCCGUCAUAAAGCUGCCCGCAACAGCCUCUGCAUGAAGCCAUGGGCGGCCUGGAGAUGCCUUAGGAGGGCGGCCUGGAGAUGCCUUAAGAGGGCCGCCUGCCCUGUUCCGGGGUCGGGAGAUGACCUGGCUGUGGGAAGAGCCCUUGGGAAUCCACUGUGCAGCUCUGAGACACCGCAACUCUCGCCUUGAUCUCUCCAUCUGCCAAACAAAGAGAUGGUGCCCGAGACUCCCCUGGUUUCCCGGCCUCUACAAAGCCAGGGUUUGGAGCACGAUAUAAAAACGGCAAGACAGGCGCUGUCAAUCAGCCGCGGGACCCGGCAGAGCACUGUUCCUCUUCACAGUUGGAGAUGGAUUCAAUUUUCUUUCCACAGUUUUUCUGAAACCAAAGUGGCCUGACUCAUGAGUUAAUAUGGGCUUAUUUGGGAUGAUCUUAGAAGGCAAACAAGUUCAAAGAAUCGUUUGAUAGGAAAUGAAACCAGAAGUCAGUUGCAUAUGGAUGUUGGAAAUAAAUUUAUAAAUUAAGA
Non-coding RNA from Marmota flaviventris (yellow-bellied marmot), 574 nucleotides. Lineage: Eukaryota; Metazoa; Chordata; Mammalia; Rodentia; Sciuridae. The record is from RefSeq and is a predicted model, not a curated record.